This 897-nucleotide ribosomal RNA is filed under the name Wolbachia endosymbiont of Trichogramma bourarachae. RNAcentral's name for it is "bacterial SSU rRNA". It matches the Rfam family "Bacterial small subunit ribosomal RNA", at positions 73 to 1002 of the family's 1533-position model. The record is from RNAcentral. Lineage: Bacteria; Pseudomonadati; Pseudomonadota; Alphaproteobacteria; Rickettsiales; Anaplasmataceae.
UUGUAGCCUGCUAUGGUAUAACUUAGUGGCAGACGGGUGAGUAAUGUAUAGGAAUCUACCUAGUAGUACGGAAUAAUUGUUGGAAACGGCAACUAAUACCGUAUACGCCCUACGGGGGAAAAAUUUAUUGCUAUUAGAUGAGCCUAUAUUAGAUUAGCUAGUUGGUGGAGUAAUAGCCUACCAAGGCAAUGAUCUAUAGCUGAUCUGAGAGGAUGAUCAGCCACACUGGAACUGAGAUACGGUCCAGACUCCUACGGGAGGCAGCAGUGGGGAAUAUUGGACAAUGGGCGAAACGUGAUCCAGCCAUGCCGCAUGAGUGAAGAAGGCCUUUGGGUUGUAAAGCUCUUUUAGUGAGGAAGAUAAUGACGGUACUCACAGAAGAAGUCCUGGCUAACUCCGUGCCAGCAGCCGCGGUAAUACGGGGAGGGCUAGCGUUAUUCGGAAUUAUUGGGCGUAAAGGGCGCGUAGGCGGAUUAGUAAGUUAAAAGUGAAAUCCCAAGGCUCAACCUUGGAAUUGCUUUUAAAACUGCUAAUCUACACAUUGAAAGAGGAUAGAGGAAUUCCUAGUGUAGAGGUGAAAUUCGUAAAUAUUAGGAGGAACACCAGUGGCGAAGGCGUCUAUCUGGUUCAAAUCUGACGCUUCAGGCGCGAAGGCGUGGGGAGCAAACAGGAUUAGAUACCCUGGUAGUCCACGCUGUAAACGAUGAAUGUUAAAUAUGGGAAGUUUUACUUUCUGUAUUACACGUAACGCGUUAAACAUUCCGCCUGGGGACUACGGUCGCAAGAUUAAAACUCAAAGGAAUUGACGGGGACCGCCACAAGCGGUGGAGCAUGUGGUUUAAUUCGAUGCAACGCGAAAAACCUUACCACUCCUUGACAUGAAAAUCAUACCUAUUC